GCGCUUACCACUUUGUGAUUCAUGACUGGGGUGAAGUCGUAACAAGGUAACCGUAGGGGAACCUGCGGUUGGAUCACCUCCUUACCUUAAAGAAGC
Molecule: ribosomal RNA, 96 nt
Filed under: Escherichia coli
Lineage: Bacteria; Pseudomonadati; Pseudomonadota; Gammaproteobacteria; Enterobacterales; Enterobacteriaceae
Also listed under: 7 other names
Description: partial 16S ribosomal RNA
Rfam family: Bacterial small subunit ribosomal RNA (bases 1-84)
Source: RNAcentral